Molecule: ribosomal RNA, 774 nt
Filed under: uncultured Neocallimastigales
Lineage: Eukaryota; Fungi; Neocallimastigomycota; Neocallimastigomycetes; Neocallimastigales
Description: partial large subunit ribosomal RNA
Rfam family: Eukaryotic large subunit ribosomal RNA
Source: RNAcentral
UAUGUGAUCGUCUCUCGCAUAUCAAUAAGCGGAGGAAAAGAAACUAACAAGGAUUCCCCUAGUAACGGCGAGUGAAGCGGGAAGAGCUCAAAUUUGAAAUCUUAAAGGGUUUCCCUUUACGAAUUGUAGUUUAAAGAAGUGUUUUCUGUUGAGGUUUUGGUAAAAGUUCUUUGGAAUAGGACAUCAUAGAGGGUGAGAAUCCCGUAUUUGACCUUUACUUUCAACUUUGUGAUACACUUUCAAAGAGUCGGAUUGUUUGGGAAUGCAGUCCAAAAUGGGUGGUAAAUUUCAUCUAAAGCUAAAUAUUGGCGAGAGACCGAUAGCGAACAAGUACCGUGAGGGAAAGAUGAAAAGAACUUUGAAAAGAGAGUUAAACAGUACGUGAAAUUGUCAAAAGGGAAGCGUUUGACACCAGUGUUGUUUUUCUGAAAAUCAAUUAAAGAACUGUUUAUGCUAAGCUGUUUAGACUUUAUCAGCUAUCUGUUUAGUUUUGAGCUUUUCUUUAAUGCACUUUUCAGUUAACAAGUCAACAUCAAUUUCUUUUGCUGUAAAAAAGCUUGAGGAAGGUGGCUUGAGAUUCGUCUUAAGUGUUUAUAGCCUCUUGCCUAUGCAGUCGGAGGGAUUGAGGUCUGCAGCGUAGAUCCUUCGGGGCUAAAUGCAUUUGUGCUAAGUUAUAGCAUUUUAUAGACAACUUGUUGACUAUGAUUUGUCUUGUAGCUUACUCGCUUAUGUUAUUUUACCUACGCUUAGGAUGUUGAGUAGCGACAUACGCAC